This 29-nucleotide non-coding RNA is filed under the name Rattus norvegicus (Norway rat). The record is from RNAcentral. Lineage: Eukaryota; Metazoa; Chordata; Mammalia; Rodentia; Muridae.
UGAAGUGACAAAGUUUUUAGCAGUAUUCU